This 811-nucleotide ribosomal RNA is filed under the name Fusarium oxysporum f. sp. niveum. RNAcentral describes it as "LSU rRNA". It matches the Rfam family "Eukaryotic large subunit ribosomal RNA", at positions 130 to 968 of the family's 3401-position model. The record is from RNAcentral. Lineage: Eukaryota; Fungi; Ascomycota; Sordariomycetes; Hypocreales; Nectriaceae.
UCUCGGGCCCCAGUUGUAAUUUGUAGAGGAUACUUUUGAUGCGGUGCCUUCCGAGUUCCCUGGAACGGGACGCCAUAGAGGGUGAGAGCCCCGUCUGGUUGGAUGCCAAAUCUCUGUAAAGUUCCUUCAACGAGUCGAGUAGUUUGGGAAUGCUGCUCUAAAUGGGAGGUAUAUGUCUUCUAAAGCUAAAUACCGGCCAGAGACCGAUAGCGCACAAGUAGAGUGAUCGAAAGAUGAAAAGCACUUUGAAAAGAGAGUUAAAAAGUACGUGAAAUUGUUGAAAGGGAAGCGUUUAUGACCAGACUUGGGCUUGGUUAAUCAUCUGGGGUUCUCCCCAGUGCACUUUUCCAGUCCAGGCCAGCAUCAGUUUUCCCCGGGGGAUAAAGGCGGCGGGAAUGUGGCUCUCUUCGGGGAGUGUUAUAGCCCACCGUGUAAUACCCUGGGGGGGACUGAGGUUCGCGCAUCUGCAAGGAUGCUGGCGUAAUGGUCAUCAACGACCCGUCUUGAAACACGGACCAAGGAGUCGUCUUCGUAUGCGAGUGUUCGGGUGUCAAACCCCUACGCGUAAUGAAAGUGAACGCAGGUGAGAGCUUCGGCGCAUCAUCGACCGAUCCUGAUGUUCUCGGAUGGAUUUGAGUAAGAGCAUACGGGGCCGGACCCGAAAGAAGGUGAACUAUGCCUGUAUAGGGUGAAGCCAGAGGAAACUCUGGUGGAGGCUCGCAGCGGUUCUGACGUGCAAAUCGAUCGUCAAAUAUGGGCAUGGGGGCGAAAGACUAAUCGAACCUUCUAGUAGCUGGUUUCCGCCGAAGUU